AGUACCUAAAAUUGUCAAUCUUACUGCAUAAGCAUAGUGCAGUAUUUAGAAAUAGGUAGGUAGAUACAAAAAGAAUCAGCUCAAAGUGAUUUCUCUGAGGAUCAGAGGCUAAAAUGAAGUAGGAAAUAGUGUUGCCAGAAAAAGAGGUCCCAAUCCAGACCUUAAGAGAGAACUCUUGGGUCUAAGCAGGAAGGAAUUCAAGGCGAGUUGCAGAGUACAGUGAGAAGAGAGUUUAUUGAAAGCUACCCAGAUACAGAGUAGGGUGUCCUCAGAAACGAAAUGGAGGAAUGUGCCUUCUUUGUUUUAAACUGUUCUUGUAUAGGAGUCUUAUCUAUGUAAAAACUAUUACGUCUAUGUGGGGGUAGGCUGACAGCGUGACAAAAUUUAGUACUUUGUUUUUAAAAAGUUUUCUGUGGCAUUUUAGUGCAUAAGUACAUCAAAGCAUGACUAUAUCGUAAAAGUAUACAUUGUUAUGUGAUACCGGGACAUCUGGACAUUCUGCCAUCAUAGGAGUUUAUCCUUGCAAGCAUUACUAAACUGCUUCCUUAGCCAAAAACAUGUUAUGACUGUGCAUUGUGACUGGCCAGGAAUGUGCCUUGCUGGUUUUACGAUGGAGUUGAUUUAAAAAUAGUAUUACCGUAGCUCUCCUAUGCUCCUGUUUACUUAACAAUAAUGUGACUAGCCAGAAUCUUAACCUGGGUCAGAUGUCCCAGAAUGAAAGCAUACAUAGCUGGAUGACUCGUUCAGACCUCAGAGCUGGUACAUGUUAGAAAUGUGUUCAUUGUAGAAGCUGAAAGAAAAGUCCCAAUGGUUGAUUCUAUGGGCCCCUUGGUGAGGAACAGCUUUCUCACAGCAUGUGACAUAAUUCUGUGGCACAGCACGAUCUGUCAGUCCUGUCCUCGAAAUCUAAUACAGCUGAGUAUUUUUCCCUCUGAGGACAAUUUACACAUUUUAUUUAUACUUUACUGUUAGUGUAAAAAGGUUGAUUUAAGACAAAGUUGAUAUCCUGUCAUAUUAUUCAUAGCAUGUUUAUCCUAUUGAUGGUUGCGGAAGCAGCACAGAUUCUUUGGCCAUUAUUAGCAGUCUUCACUCUUGAAAUACAACUUUGACAAUAUAUUAAUUAUGCCACUUUGCUAACACUGAUGUUUUGGUUACCUAUUGCCAUUUUACCUAACAACAACCAUUUUAUUUGCUCACAAUUGUGAAAUCUGGGCUAGGCUGAGCUGAGCUGCUUGGUUCUGCUCGUCUUGCCAGUGUGCAUUCCUGUGAUUGCAUUAAGGAACAAGCUGGGCUGUGCUUUUUCUCUCUCCAUGUAGUUUCAGGACUUCUCCCUCUUCACAUAGUUUCUACAUGGCAUUUCCAGCAGAAUUCCUGGAUUCUUCCUGAGUUGCUCAGGGAUCCUAAGAGCUCAAGAGUAGAAACUUCCAGCCCUUCAUGAAAUUUCAGUGCAAACUAUCACUUCUGCCAUAUUCUAUUAAGGAAGAAGAGUGACAGGACCACCCUAGAUUCACAGGAAGGGGACUACACAACGUUAUGAACACCAAGAGGCGGUUCACGGGGAGAUGCCAGUAGAGCCAGUGGUGUUCUGACAAAUUGACAGUUUUCCACUUUCCUAAGAAGAAGAAAUGGCCAAAUCCCAGGGAAUGAACAUAUGGAAGAAGAGCAACUAAAAGCUGUGAAUACACAAUUAAGAAUCAAAAGAGGAUAACCAAAAGGCCCGAUGGCAGUCUGAAACCCAGCGGCUGUAAGGUAGAUAUGGCUGACAAUCAAACCCUACUCAACAUAAAGUGUUGCAGAAUUGCCGCACCAAUUAAAUGCAUAUCCUGGUGACAGUGAAGGACUUAUCUCGAGUAUGCAGUUUUUGAUGUUUAACAAGGUUUGAACUCCUGUUGAAGGCUUUACUACAUUCCUUACAUUUGAAUGG
This 1924-nucleotide long non-coding RNA is filed under the name Homo sapiens (human). RNAcentral describes it as "HSALNT0361187". Lineage: Eukaryota; Metazoa; Chordata; Mammalia; Primates; Hominidae. The record is from RNAcentral.